RNAcentral lists this ribosomal RNA (301 nucleotides) under uncultured bacterium. RNAcentral describes it as "partial 16S ribosomal RNA". It matches the Rfam family "Bacterial small subunit ribosomal RNA", at positions 509 to 808 of the family's 1533-position model. The record is from RNAcentral.
CAGCCGCCGCGGUAAUACGUAGGGGGCAAGCGUUGUCCGGAUUUAUUGGGCGUAAAGCGAGCGCAGGCGGUUAGAAAAGUCUGAAGUGAAAGGCAGUGGCUCAACCAUUGUAGGCUUUGGAAACUGUUUAACUUGAGUGCAGAAGGGGAGAGUGGAAUUCCAUGUGUAGCGGUGAAAUGCGUAGAUAUAUGGAGGAACACCAGUGGCGAAGGCGACUCUCUGGUCUGUAACUGACGCUGAGGAGCGAAAGCGUGGGGAGCGAACAGGAUUAGAUGCCCCGGUAGUCUCUGUCUCUUAUACC